AGACAGUGAGAAUGAAGUGGAUUUGAUGGUGCAGACACGGCAUUUGCGAGAUGUUAUCGUUCUUGUCAUCAGAGGCCUUGCCCAGCGAUUUAAUAGUACAUCUCUUAAUUCUCUGCUCAAAAUAGAUAAUUAGUUUUCAUCUCAUAAAUGUAAAUGAUUUCAGAAUAGUGUUGUAAAAGGAUCAAUUUUACACUCCCUAUACAUCGUUUCUACAACUCUGUUUGAGGAUUGGUUUGUUGUAUAAAACACCUGUUCAUCAUUGUAGUUGUACAUUUUUGUGUAAGAUAUACUGUUCUCUAACUCUAAUGGUGCAUUUCCUCAUGGUUUUGGCCCUUUUGUAUAAUUCGUUUUGAGUUCGAUUUGAAAGUGUUUAGCAAAUAUGUUAGGAAUAUGCAUAAACCAAAUUGGCUUUGAUCUCAAGAUAACUGGCUUGAAAGGGUAAGGUUGAAUUACAUUUGGAUGGAUUACUUUCUUAAGUGCAAGAUUUCCAUGCAUGUAUAUCUGGCGGGAUGUUCUUUUCAAUAUUCUGCUUAAGAGUGUUAGUCCUAGUUAAAAAGAAUAGCAGCGGUACAUAAUAGUAAAUUUUAAAUCUCAAGGGUGCCUGCUCUACCCUCCCUCUAUUAGACUUGCUCAUGGUGGUGAUUUUGGUCUGUACAUUUGUAAACAUCGUUGGGUAUUUGUUGAAAUCAUUGGAAGAUUUGGUUGAAAGGUGAUCAUCAUUGGGUAUUUGGUUGAAAUCAGAAACAUGGCAGAUCUAAAUUUGGAGCUUGUAGGAAGAAUGUUGUUAUGUAAGAUGCGUGAGCAUUAUUGAUCAUAUGCUGCAAAGAACACUAUGAAAUAUGUAAUGGAUCCUAUGUAGCUUGUCCAAGGGUGUCUGUCUUGUCUUGCAUGUUGCUCCUAAAUGUAACAGCUACUGAUUUAAGUCUUCUGAGGCAUCAAACAUGGAGAAACGAACUCGAACAACGAAAGUGAUAUUUAUACUUGAUCUAACUUUGGAUAAUUAUUUGUAAAAAUUCUAAAUAAUGCUUAGCAAAAUUACUAUUGGUGUUGUUUAUGUAGAAAAGAUAAAGUCGAAUAAAAUUGUAAUGGCAACUUGUGGGGCAGUAGGGUAGAAGGGGGAAACUUUUGUAACAUGGAAUACUGGAUGGGGAGGGCUUCUCCUCUGUGUAGGGCGGUAAGGGGCAUCGGCCACUAGAGGUGGCAAAAUGGGGGAUGGGCGGGAUUUGCUUGGGUUUGAGAUGGAACCGAGUCAUAUGGGUUUGGGCUCAACCUUAUCCAUAUGUGUUUUGGGACUAACUUGGCGGGAUCAUUUUGGGAUGGGUUUAGAUUGAUCCCGCCUAAUACCCAAAUCCAUUUUCUACAUAUUUUUUUUCCUUUAAUUCAUUUUUUAUUUUUAUAUAAUUUUAAUAUUUUUGAUUUAUUAAAUUUCUUUUAGUUUUAUUAAAUAAACAUGCAAGUGCUUUAUACUCAAGAUUCCCACCAAAAAUUGGAUUAACAAAUAAAGGAAAAGAUAGAUAUACAGUCAUAUUCCAACAUAUAUCAAGAUGGCCAAGGUCUUUAGGAUGUUGAAUAUUUAUCCUUAUCAUUGUCCAAGGAUGACAGGUCUAAACUAACUGAAAUGCUGGAAAUUCUUGUGGAUAAUGACUAGGAAGACUACUAGAUUAUAUUCGCUGGUAUGACUAUAAAAAUUGUUAAAGAUAAUUUUUGAAUUUAAGAUUCCGUUUGGAUUGACUUUUUUUCAAAAAAUAAGUUUUUCAAAUACAAUGUUACAGUAAUAUACAAUAACUCAAGAAACAUCCCAUCCAUAUUAAUAUAUCAAAUAUUUCAAAAAAAUUUUAUAGUAAAAAUUUUUCAUAUACACUGCUACAAUAAAAUAUUUCAAAAACACCUACCAAAAACAGCUAAUCCAAACGGAGCCCUUGCCAUUUGAACCCAAUGGGUACCCAAGUAUUUCCCAUCCUUUCCCAUUCAUUAAUGGGUAUAGUUGGGAUGUGUCCCAACUUAAACCCAAUACCAAAUUAUAAUACCCAUCCCGCCCAAAGUUCUUUUGGGCAUGGGUAGCCCAUUGGGACUUGGGACAAAUUGCCAGCUCUAUCGGCCACCAAGAUUUUACAAAUAUUGAUGCGGCUCUUCAAAAAAUUUGAAAUUUUUAUUUAUAUUCAUGUAGAAAUUGGAAUUCGCUCCCACUAAGAUUUUAGAAAUCCUUGUAUAUUUCCUUCAAACAUUAAAUGUCUUCUUUAAUGGUGCUUAGGUGAAUAUUCGAGGGCUGGUUUGUUGUAGACGACACUUAUUUUGCAGUGUACUAGUACACUUUUGUAUAAGACACUUUUUUCAUGGUGCUUUUCCUCAUGGUUUUGGCCCUUUUGUAUUAUCUAUUUAACCCGUUUCUACUGACAACUAUCUAGGAAUUCAUGAAUAAUUGAAUUUGGGCAUUUCAUCUAGCGGAAUUGGCUUGAAGGAGUUGAGUUGAAUUAUAUUUGGUUGGUUUUUGUUUUUAAGCGCAAGAUUUUUUAUAGAUGUAUAUUUCAAGGGCUGUUUUUUUGGGCUAUAUUCUUAAGAUUUUAGGAUGCAAGUGAUAGUUUCAAAAAGAAGUAACGCAGAAAAUGAAUAAAUCAAACAUCUCACAUUAUAAAAUCACCAUUAUUGCUUCAACACCUCGAUGGAUUUCACUCUUCAAUCAAACAAACAAUUCGCCAAGCUUGCAACUUGCAAGGACAAGCAAUGAUUUAAUGUCACAUUCUUGAGCACAUUAUUGCAAAGAAAUACCGAUCAAGUAAAGAAGGUAAAGAGCCUGCGCGUCUCAAAGGUGGAACUAGUAUUGAGUGGAAGAAAAAGGAAAGAAAGGAGAGACAUGGAGGGACGAAUACGUUUUUUUCUUUUUUCUUUUUUUUUUUUUUAAGAGUUUCCCUCCAAAUAUGAGAGAAAUGGAAGAAUAGUAGAAGCAAAGCAACCAAACGUCUUCUAAGUGUCAAAUUGUCCAUAAAAUAUCAGUAAACAAAUUACUCAUACUCAAUAUGUCCAAAAUUAUUUCAUACUAGUCUCUUCAUUUUUCUUCUUUUAAACUCCAAAACUCCAAAAUUAUUUUUCUCUUCAUUAUUUCAAAAACUCCAAAACUGGCAAAAGAGUUCAAAUUUAAUUGGACAGAAGAGUUAGUUGAGGAGGGAAAGCAGAAAAACCCAAUCAAAAUACAAAAUUCUGAGUUAACAAUACCGGGGAGAUUAGCACGAGUAAUUUUUUUUUAUUAGAGCUCAUUAAUGGUUAGAGUGGUUAAGAGAAGACUGAAAUUGUACCCCAAAAAAAUAUUGAAAGAAAAUGUCAAACAGUCCAAAGCACCUUGAUACUAAUAAAUCUUAAUCUAAGAUAUGAAAAUUGGAGUUAUAAUUAUGUAUUAAUUGCUACCAAUGAACAAACCAUUAGACUGAAAUAAAUAAAAUAAUCGUUUCACGUAGACUUAAUGGUUGCAAACUUGUUUAACAGCUAUCUAAUUUAACAUUCACUUUCAUUCUCAUAAAAGGGUCUAAUAAAAAAAUGGAAAACAAUUUACCAAUUUUCCUUGUACCAUAAAAAUGGUAUGGGCACAAAAAAUAAAUAUACGAUCUCCUAUUCCUAAAUUUUAAUACUGAAGUCAGGCUUGUGAAAUGUUCUCAUGUUCGCUUUAUUUGAUACUUGUGCCACAAAGAAGAAUUAAUAGUGUAAAACAACAGUUAUCUUGGGCGAUUUCAGAAAUAUAGCAGUGUAAAGAAUCCAAUAUGAAAUUCCAAGUGAUAAAAUUUAUUACCUAAAUCGCUUUGAAAUAAUUGAUUCAGAGCUCGAGAAUUUUUUUUGGUCACUAUAAUAUCACAAAUUCUCAAUUUCAUCGAGAACGUUAUAGUAUUAAGUUAAGGAACAUACCUCUGCAUAUAUUAUGUUUUCACACAAAAGGCGUAUUUCUCAAAGAUUGGUAUGAAUUAAAUUUCGGUUUGUCUAACUCUUUAAGACCCCGUUAGAAAAAACCAUUAAAUUUUAUGAGGGCUGAAAAGCAGUUAUUUUCUUUGGUGGUUUUGUGAGUCACUUAAUUCAACUUAAAAGGGGUAAGUCUUGAACCACUUCCCAUUUCUUAUACCUAAUUUGCAUUUUACACAAGGAAAAGGGAAUUCUUACCAGUACAAAAUUGACCAGUACUAUUAAGGAGAUACCAAUUGAUUUGAUUUCCAAGAAUAUUGGAAAUUAUUAACCUUAUUUGACUACGCAUCCGACGAAUCGUAAAAGGAAUCUUUCGCCGUCUAUGUUAAUAACUAGCAAGCUUAACAAAUAGAGAAUAUAGAUGCCUAAAUUUAUAUAAGAACUAUGAUUUCCUAAUAUUUACUUAGUAAAUAUACCUUGCUAAGUCAAAUGGUAAGAUACCCUUUUUUUUUUUUUCAAAUGGUUUGAUACAUUGAAACAAAUAUGUGUAUAUAUAUACCAAAGGUGCAGGGAUGCUUGACCCAUAGGCUUUCUCCCACAGCAAACUAUUAAUUUCUGCAGCAGAAAAUUCAGUCCUUUUGUGGGAGUUCUUAGUUUGUUCAAGAUGGGUUGUUGUUUCUCUCAGGUAUGUAUUUUACUUUUCUAAAUUGGUGGCAUAAUCUUUAAGUUCUUUUUUCUUUUCAAAAAAGAAUUGACUUUUAAUUGAAAGGAGAAGGAAAUAUGAGAAGAUUUGAAUAAUUUUAAUGAAUUAAUGUCAAUGGCCACACAAUAAUGUUCAAGUUUAUUUAUUUAUUUCUUCACGUAUAUUUAUGGAUGUCCACAAGUCUUUGUGAAAAUAAACAGUGCUAGAAUGUGAUAAACGCUUUCAGUAUUUUGGUUUAUGAUUUAAACUCAUUCGGUUUGAUUUUCUUCCUUAUAUAUUCUAUCACUACUGUCAUUAAAAGGGUUAUUUGUAAUUCUUUCUUUUUUAAUUCAGAUGCUUUGAAUAUACUCUUGAGUGAUAGCACAGACGACUAAGGCUUUGAUUAGUGGCUACUGUUGAACUGUAAAUAGUGUUUAUAUUAAAAAAAAUUACGAAUUCAUUGACUUGAAACUUUUGCCAUGCCUCAAAGAACUUGGCAUCGACAACUUUUUAAAGCAGAGAUCAAUAUUAGAAGUAAUACUAUAAAUUGCAUUAUUUAGGGUGUAUCUCAAUGUAACGUUUGAAGUAAGAAUGCAAAUACUAUUAUUUGUUGCUACAAUUCAAUAUUAAAAUAUUAAAGAUUAAAAUUCAAAGGGUUAAAAUUUUGUUAUUCUUUUACCGUUCAAAUGAAGAAUAUCUUGAAUAUUUUUGUGAAGUAUAUCUUGAAUAUUUUUUUAAAAUCCUUACUAUACUACUUUUUAUGAUAUACCGCGUUUGAAACAAGAAAAUUGCAUAAAAACGUGUUUUGUGAAUAACUAUAACAGAAACACAAAAUCCAGAUAAUCAAGAGUUCAAGAGCACGUAUUUGUUUAUCAUUCUUUUAGUAAAUCUCUCUUACUCUAUAUUAAAGGCUACAAUCUUUUUUAAACUGUGUAGAUGAAAUGUUUAGUGCAACUAGUUUUUGUUUGCAUGAAAAGCACUAAUGCUCUUUCUUAUAUGACUGAAAUUGAACCAAAGAGUGAGAAGCCGAAACCAGCUUCGGCGGCCCCAGAACCAGCUUCAGCUCCAAAUUCCCUAGCAGCAGCUUCCUCGCCACCACGAGGCCCGCCAAGGCCCCAGAAUCCACAUCCAUUUGAAGCACUUUUUAAUGAUGAAAAUCCUAAUGCUUGCAAUAUUUCGUAAUUCUUAAUUAGCUACCACUUUUUGUUUCUUGCUUCAUUCAAGUGGUUCUAGUUUGAUUAUAUCAUUUUUCAGAUGGUGAGUUAUUAUGUUUAGUUGAGAAAUUUACAUUAAGAUUUUUAUCUAUGUUCAAUUUUGGUAAUCCAAUAAGCUUCUUUAUGUUUGCUUCGGAGUUAAAAAUUUGUUUUACUUUUUGGGUGACUUAACAUAUCAUAUUAUUCAAAGAAUAUAUAUAUUUGGCCUUCUAAAGGCACACGAGCGUUAAUAUAGGUUAGGUUAGUUUGAGGAUUGAUUUGUUGUAUAAAACACCUGUUCAUGAUUGUAGUUGUUCAUUUUUGUGUAAGAUAUACAGUUCUCUAAUGGUGCAUUUCCUCGUGGCUUUGGCCCUUUUGUAU
Molecule: long non-coding RNA, 6138 nt
Filed under: Coffea arabica (coffee)
Lineage: Eukaryota; Viridiplantae; Streptophyta; Magnoliopsida; Gentianales; Rubiaceae
Description: long non-coding RNA (CARA_LNC006542)
Source: RNAcentral